RNAcentral lists this ribosomal RNA (609 nucleotides) under Alexandrium tamarense. RNAcentral's name for it is "eukaryotic LSU rRNA". The stretch from base 192 to 346 matches the Rfam family "5.8S ribosomal RNA". Lineage: Eukaryota; Dinophyceae; Gonyaulacales; Pyrocystaceae. The record is from RNAcentral.
GGAGUGACUGCGGAGGUCAUUUGCACAUGUGUAUCCAACUUCAUUCUAAUGAUAUUGUGGGCAAGUGCGGGCAUGUAUUGCAAUGUGCUUGCAUGUGCCCUGGGCUGCAUGACUUGUUUUACAAUCAUGUGUGCUGCACUAUCUAAUAUACUUAAUCAACUGUUUGGUAAUUCUUCAUUGAUUACAAUGAUUAUGUUUUGCAAAGAAUGUAUUAGUUCAAUAAAUGAUGAAGAAUGCAGCAAAAUGCACUAUGCAUUGUGAAUUGCAGAAUUCCGUGAGCUAACAGAUGUUUGAAUGUUACUUGUACCUUUGGGAUAUUCUUGAAGGUGUGCUUGAUUCAAUGCAAACUGUCUUCCAUAUGCAAUAAUGCUGCUUAGCAUUGCUGUGAACAGUAGGGGUCAAUGUGUGUGCAUUGAACCUGGGUGUUGUGCAGCUGUUUGCAACCUAAACAUGUUUUCUUGGGGGCAAACUUGUUUCGUCAUUUGCUGGUUGAUAUGUGUAAAAAUGCAUAUUUGAAACAAGUUGAAUACUUGCAUUCACUUAGCGUGAAGUGAAGCACAUAAACCUGCUGAAUUUAAGCAUAUAAGUAAGUGUGAAAAUUAUAAACAC